UUCCUGGCCUGCUGUUGCUCUGGCAUGUGACCAAUUUUUGUGAACAUGUAUGUGAUCCAAAUAUUGACAGUUCACCAUGCCACACCUUACCCCAGCCUCAUCAUAGCAUACUCUAGAUUCUCCUUCCCUGGUGGAAAGACUGAGGGAUAUGUCAUGAUUUUCAGAGAAGUACAAGGGGACACAAGAGGCGAUUUCAAGAAACACUAAUAGGAUUGUGAGAAAGUUGGCCAAGGAAGAGGAACAGCCAAUAAACGGUGACUUGUCAAGACAGUUAGGACCCUGGGAGCUAAAUCUGCCUGGAGAACUCUGGAAAUCAGUGUGGAACACAUACUUCAGCAUCAUCUCAGCUAAUGGACAAGUAAGGUUUCUGACUGAAGCCCAUGUUUUGACUGGAGCACCUUGAUUAAACAGAAGACCCUCUGAGGAAACACCACAGACAAAAGUGUACAUGGUAAAUAUUCAAGAAGAAAAUAUAAAAUAAGCUUUCAGCAAUUUAAAAUGCAGCAGAAGGAGUUACA
RNAcentral lists this long non-coding RNA (518 nucleotides) under Homo sapiens (human). Its description in RNAcentral is "HSALNT0034851". The record is from RNAcentral. Lineage: Eukaryota; Metazoa; Chordata; Mammalia; Primates; Hominidae.